Non-coding RNA from Vigna umbellata (rice bean), 348 nucleotides. Lineage: Eukaryota; Viridiplantae; Streptophyta; Magnoliopsida; Fabales; Fabaceae. The record is from RefSeq and is a predicted model, not a curated record.
CUCAAAACCUUUUUCAUUCUCAUCUUCAAAACUCACCUUCAUGGCCAUUUUCAAGGCUCUUCUAUUUUCAAUUCUCAUUUCUCAAAUCAUUGUAAUUCUCGUGGAAUCGGAUACAAUGGUUAUUAUCAAGAACCCAUUAGAACAACCCAAGUCCCAGCCCUUCUUCACCUCCAACCAUAGAUUGUGAUGGUGAAUGCAAUAGAAGGUGUCAAUAUCAUCAAGACCAAAUCUAUGUAAAAGGGCAUGUGGAACUUGUUGUGAAAGAUGCAAUUGUGUGCCUUCGGUACUAGUGGUCACUAUGAGAUGUCCAUGCUAUGCAAAUUUGACUCUCAUGGUGGAAGACACAAA